GGUGGCUCAGUGGUAGAGCACUUGCCUUGCAUGCAUGAGGACCUGGGUUCGAUUCCUCAGCACCA
Non-coding RNA from Dipodomys ordii (Ord's kangaroo rat), 65 nucleotides. Lineage: Eukaryota; Metazoa; Chordata; Mammalia; Rodentia; Heteromyidae. The record is from Rfam.